Molecule: ribosomal RNA, 497 nt
Filed under: uncultured bacterium
Lineage: Bacteria
Description: partial 16S ribosomal RNA
Rfam family: Bacterial small subunit ribosomal RNA
Source: RNAcentral
GAUGAACGCUGGCGGCGUGCCUAAUACAUGCAAGUCGAGCGAACAGACGAGGAGCUUGCUCCUCUGACGUUAGCGGCGGACGGGUGAGUAACACGUGGAUAACCUACCUAUAAUACUGGGAUAACUUCGGGAAACCGGAGCUAAUACCGGAUAAUAUAUUGAACCGCAUGGUUCAAUAGUGAAAGACGGUUUUGCUGUCACUUAUAGAUGGAUCCGCGCCGCAUUAGAUAGUUGGUAAGGUAACGGCUUACCAAGGCGACGAUGCGUAGCCGACCUGAGAGGGUGAUCGGCCACACUGGAACUGAGACACGGUCCAGACUCCUACGGGAGGCAGCAGUAGGGAAUCUUCCGCAAUGGGCGAAAGCCUGACGGAGCAACGCCGCGUGAGUGAUGAAGGUCUUCGGAUCGUAAAACUCUGUUAUUAGGGAAGAACAAAUGUGUAAGUAACUAUGCACGUCUUGACGGUACCUAAUCAGAAAGCCACGGCUAACUACGUG